Anas platyrhynchos (mallard) is the source of this 2137-nucleotide non-coding RNA. The record is from RefSeq and is a predicted model, not a curated record. Lineage: Eukaryota; Metazoa; Chordata; Aves; Anseriformes; Anatidae.
AGUGAUUUUUUCUUAAUUUUCUUUAUUUUUACUUUAGUUAUUUUUGUCAUUCAUAUCUAUGUUUUUAAGUAAUUUUGGAUUAUUGCUAGGGUAAAAUAUGUGCAGAAAAAUUAGAAUGUUUGUAUAUUUGUAAUAGAAGAAAAAAAUGAAAUCUACAAGGUUUAAUUCUGAGGUAAUUUCUCAUUCCUAAUCAGGUGCCAUCAACAACUCACCUGUGACAAUGGACCUCAUCUUUAAGAGAAUGGACCUGAUGGAGAGGAUGUGUUGUGCUUGUUUCUUCAGUCUUCACCCUGUAGACUUUCUGAGGGAAUAACACAAAUGUAUGCAGACUAACAUCAUUCUGGUCGGCUCUGCGUCUGGAGAUGGGUUUACUGAUGAAGCUUUCAGUCUUCAUUCAAACAAAAUUUCAUUCUUGAAUUCUGUGAGUUAAAGGCAGCAAGAUAUUUUGGGUGACAACUAUGGCUAAUUUUAGUGUUUAUAAUAUUUUUUAUUUUUCUCCCAUUUAUUAUCCCUGUAGACUGAAAUCAUGGUUUUGUAUUUAAUGAGAUAUAAUUUCUCAGUCCUUUUUGAGCAGUAGUAUUUCUUUAUUAUAUAAAUAUCUGCUUAAAAAUGGGUGCACUGUAGGAGACCAUAUGAAGAUAUAAUGUCCGACUUAAAAUCAAACAUAGUUUAUCCAGAGGUUAAAGACAAAGUAAAGAGAUCAGGUAGAUGAGAAGAGAGGUGAAUCCAUCAUACUUCCUGACCAGAGUUCUUCAUACAGUGUUUAAACUCUAGGGAUUAAAAACAAAUAAAAAAUACUUUCAGAGAACAAAGUGAGGUAUCCACUUGCCUUCAGAGUAGGUAAAACAAUUCCAAGCUCUGUAGUCCACUGCCAAAGUUAGGAUAUAUUUUUGAACUCUCUAAUCUCAUGUUAUGAGGUAACAUAAUGCAACCUUCUCCACUGUAUUUUUAUGGAGUAUCACGGCCUUGUGGCUUAAAAGAUUUCAAAAACUUUUCUCAUUUUUCACUGACUGUGUAUAAUCAGGGCAUGCUAUUUUUCUGUUCAGAACUUUAAUUACACAUUUUAUGUUCCUGAUAUAGGGCUAUUGUGUAGAUAACUUCUGUUUGAAGGAAGGAACUCUAUUUUCAUGCCUGGCCACUCUUACUAAUUUGUAACUUUUUGUUGUUGUUGUUGUUUUUGUUUGUUUUGUUUUGUUUUUCCUGUUAAAUUCAAUGUUAUAACACUUCUGAGUAUUUAAAUUUCUCACAUAAAAAUGAUCAUAGCAACAACUUCCAGACUUAGUGGUCAAAAAGUAAACUGAAUCUAAGCAGUAAUGUUGUGUUUCAGUAAUAAUAUACAAUAGGACAUUAGGAUCGUUUUAUGGUUAUUACACCCACAGAUCUGCAGUAAGGUGAAAAAUGAGACAGGAGAUGAAAAGAAAAUGCUUUCAGCAGCUAUAUGAGAUUGGUUAAUGCAUAAUAAUUUUUUACUCUGGAAUGGUUUAUUCCUGAAUAUGAUCAAAUCUAUGUUAUAACAUAGCAUAAUUUGUGAAUAAAUUAACCCAAACCCAGAUACGCUCCACUUUCAUAAGACCUGUGAAAUUCUAGAACAUCAAGUUUAAGCACUGUAGAAUUCUCCUUGCUCAUGCUGCUGCCAUACCUUCCAGUUACAGCUUCCCUUGAGGCAUUUUUUCUACCAUGUAAAUACCUCUUUGUAAUAGCAACGUCUAAUACAAUUUCAUCAACUAAAUAUUAAGGACUGAUUGGAAAUCACUAUCAGCCUAAUCAAAACCCCAUUAAUUUUCUGUUGGCUACAAGACUUGGAUGAAGGAAGCUACAAGAAAUAUAAAUAAUUUACUGUGGAGACCAAGAACAUUCUGACACUGCAAAUUCAGGGCAUAUACAAGGGCUGACAGAUUCCUCUACAGCACUCACAGUAGCUGUAUUUAAAAAAAAAUAAAUAAAAAAAUGGGGUUUUAUGUUAAAUGUUAUAUUGCACCAAGAUUUAUUGCACCAAAAUUAUUGUAAAGACAUAUAUUGAUCUGAAGGAAAGAAGAAGCUGGUCUUUAGUCUGUUCUGGUGGGAUAGACCUCUAGCUCUGACCCUAAUGAUCCUGUACAUUAAAAAAAAAAAAAAAUAAUAAUGCAAAAACACAUUA